This 1968-nucleotide long non-coding RNA is filed under the name Sus scrofa (pig). RNAcentral's name for it is "lncRNA (ENSSSCG00060035731.1)". The record is from RNAcentral. Lineage: Eukaryota; Metazoa; Chordata; Mammalia; Artiodactyla; Suidae.
CAUCAUAUUGAAUAUCACAGUUUAGCUGAGCAGGAGUUAUAGGUUUAUUAUCAGUCUAUGCAAGACUGAAAAAAAAAAAGUCAAAACAAAUUCCAUUUUGCUUAAGGGAGCAUUGUAAAAUAACAAUUCUUGGUAUUACACGCCUCAUAGGAUCCAUUUCAGACCAUAGAGAAUUACAUUUUCAUGCGUCACUGUUCCAAGAGACAAAUGCGAACAGCUAAACCAUCUUAAAAAUGCACCAUGCUUAGGAAAUCUCAAACAAAACCUGAAUUUUCUGUACAUGCUCCUGUCAAAGGAAGUUAUUUGCUGUCCACCACUCCUCUUGCAAACUGGUUUUUCUAUUUCCUUUCAUUUGACCUAGAUGGGCUAUGAGACCUAGAAAAAGACCAGGACGGCUUGUGAUUUCUCUGCAGAGAAAGUGACCUCUCUCUUCUCCUAUCUCUAGAAAGGGACCUGCUCCGGCUACAGGAGAAGCUUCUCCAUCUUGGAGAUGCACGGUAAGGUGGAGGACUCCUCCGACAACCAUCUAGAGGACGAUAACCCCAAGAAGGAGAGGUUGGUACAAGACUAUGCUUCGUCCAGGCUGCCCUGCAAAUUACAAUUCCAGCUUUACCUUGGCCUCUCCUGGGAGAAGACCGAGACAAAGCCUUCUGUGGCUCUAAUUAGGCUGUAAUUUGGCCUCCGAGCCGUGGAGGUCGGGAUAUGCAGCUUUAGCAGAGAUCUGCGUCCUGUCUCUGGGAACAGUGGCUUUGUUAACAUGCUUCUCUGGUGUGUCAUCCGUCUCACUGUUUCUCGUAUGGGGUUUUCAGAUGCUGCUCACUGGUUCUUUGGGGAUAGUUGUUUUUUUAAAGCGUUUUUCGCAGUCUUCAAGGUUUGAUUCUUUAAGGAUGCAUUUCCUAGUGUUUAACUUUAUUGGUCUUUGGCACUUAUUUGGACAAUGUAGGAGGCCGAGUUAGAACUGAAUUGCUGUUUAGAUGAGACAAAGGCGCAUUUAUGAUUGACUAAGAUACUCACACGGAUUGUUUAAUUAUCUUCCAGAACAUACGUGUGCAAUUGUAGUCCUUCGGAUGUAUUUUGGGAAAGGGAACUGACUACUUAAAGGAUAAAAUUUGAAAGAGGUGAAAUGGAGAUUUUCAUGGGGUUUGAAUCUCUGGGUCAAAAUCAGGUCUAUACCUUCAAAACAACUUUUAUGUUGUCUUUAAAAACAAGGUUACUAGGAAUUGUCUGUAUUCAAUGUGUGUGCUUGGAUCCUUAACCAAUUCAAAGGACCUGAGAUGAUUGAGAAACCAAUGCUGUCUUACGUACUGCGUUUAUCUUGAGGUGAUUCAGAAAUUAAAAGUGAAAACAGAACAACUGUGAUUCAGGACAUUUUUGUAAGGAGGGAAAAUACAAGGAAGGAAAAAAAAGUAAAAUUCCCCUCUUUGGAACUUACGUGGUCUGCAGAAAAAUAGUUUACUCAGCACGGUGUCUCCAAAAUACAUGCGUAUAUAUGUAUUUCAGUCAUUUUUCUUUAGCCAAGUAUCUGUCACCUCACUGGUGCUUUAAUUCCUCACAUCUAAUUGGUGAUCAGAACCCUGAAUUCUGUUAAAUGAAGCUUUUAAUCUGUCCCUUCUUGUCCAACCCAGCUGCCCUGCUGCUACUUUGACUUCUCGCCUUUUUUGUUGUUGUCUUUUGUUUUCUGGCCGCCCCCCCACGGCCUGCGGAAGUUCCAGGGUUCAACCUGUGCCACAGCAGUGACAAUGCCGCAUCUUUAACCCAAUGAACCACCAGGGAACUCUGACCCCCCCCCAAAUCUUCCGUCCGCCAACCUGCCUUUUACACAGCUGGCACAGCCAUGGCUCCUUCCUAAACAUACCUGGUCAAGUCAUUCUGCCACUUAAAAUCCUUCUGUCUGUAUUUCACAGAGGAAAAAAAAAAAAAAACCAGUAGGACAAAGACACAAAAUAAAGAUGGGGACAAGACAAAACA